AUUACUGAGUUUACGCUCUACAACCCUUUGUGAACAUACCUAUAACUGUUGCUUCGGCGGGUAGGGUCUCCGUGACCCUCCCGGCCUCCCGCCCCCGGGCGGGUCGGCGCCCGCCGGAGGAUAACCAAACUCUGAUUUAACGACGUUUCUUCUGAGUGGUACAAGCAAAUAAUCAAAACUUUUAACAACGGAUCUCUUGGUUCUGGCAUCGAUGAAGAACGCAGCGAAAUGCGAUAAGUAAUGUGAAUUGCAGAAUUCAGUGAAUCAUCGAAUCUUUGAACGCACAUUGCGCCCGCCAGCAUUCUGGCGGGCAUGCCUGUUCGAGCGUCAUUUCAACCCUCAAGCUCUGCUUGGUGUUGGGGCCCUACAGCUGAUGUAGGCCCUCAAAGGUAGUGGCGGACCCUCCCGGAGCCUCCUUUGCGUAGUAACUUUACGUCUCGCACUGGGAUCCGGAGGGACUCUUGCCGUAAAACCCCCAAUUUUCCAAAGGUGA
Molecule: ribosomal RNA, 493 nt
Filed under: fungal endophyte
Lineage: Eukaryota; Fungi
Description: eukaryotic LSU rRNA
Rfam family: 5.8S ribosomal RNA (bases 177-330)
Source: RNAcentral